Molecule: long non-coding RNA, 962 nt
Organism: Ictalurus punctatus (channel catfish)
Lineage: Eukaryota; Metazoa; Chordata; Actinopteri; Siluriformes; Ictaluridae
Source: Ensembl
GUGUGUGUUAAUGCAGGUGUGUUAAUGCAGGUGUGUUAGUGUGUGUGUUAAUGCAGGUGUAUUAGUGUGUGUUAAUGCAGGUGUAUUAUUGUGUGUUAAUGCAGGUGUAUUAUUGUGUGUUAAUGCAGGUGUGUUAAUGCAGGUGUGUUAAUGCAGGUGUGUUAGUGUGUGUUAAUGCAGGUGUGUUAGUGUGUGUUAAUGCAGGUGUAUUAUUGUGUGUUAAUGCAGGGUGUAUUAGUGUGUGUUAAUGCGGGUGUGUUAGUGUGUGUUAAUGCGGGUGUGUUAGUGUGUGUUAAUGCGGGUGUGUUAGUGUGUUAAUGCGGGUGUGUUAGUGUGUGUUAAUGCGGGUGUGUUAGUGUGUGUUAAUACGGGUGUGUUGGUGUGUUAAUGCGGGUGUGUUAGUGUGUGUUAAUGCGGGUGUGUUAGUGUGUUAAUGCGGGUGUGUUAGUGUGUGUUAAUGCGGGUGUGUUAGUGUGUGUUAAUGCAGGUGUGUUAUUGUGUGUUAAUGCAGGUGUGUUAUUGUGUGUUAAUGCAGGUGUGUUAGUGUGUGUGUUAAUGCAGGUGUAUCAUUGUGUGUUAAUGCAGGUGUGUUAGUGUGUGUUAAUGCAGGUGUAUUAUUGUGUGUUAAUGCAGGUGUGUUAUUGUGUGUUGAUGCAGGUGUAUUAUUGUGUGUUAAUGCAGGUGUGUUAGUGUGUGUUAAUGCAGGUGUGUUAGUGUGUGUUAAUGCAGGUGUAUUAUUGUGUGUUAAUGCAGGUGUAUUAUUGUGUGUUAAUGCAGGUGUAUUAUUGUGUGUUAAUGCAGGUGUGUUAAUGCGGGGUGUGUUAGUGUGUGUUAAUGCAGGUGUAUUAUUGUGUGUUAAUGCAGGUGUAUUAGUGUGUGUUAAUGCAGGUGUAUUAUUGUGUGUUAAUGCAGGUGUGUUAGUGUGUGUGUUAAUGCAGGUGUAUUAUUGUGUGUUAAUGCAG